Molecule: non-coding RNA, 30 nt
Filed under: Rattus norvegicus (Norway rat)
Lineage: Eukaryota; Metazoa; Chordata; Mammalia; Rodentia; Muridae
Source: RNAcentral
UCCAAAAUUAAUGUUGAAUAUUGUGAAAGA